This is a long non-coding RNA of Orcinus orca (killer whale), 2558 nucleotides long. RefSeq lists it as uncharacterized. The transcript is spliced from 2 exons. The record is from RefSeq and is a predicted model, not a curated record. NCBI's taxonomy places the organism in Eukaryota, Metazoa, Chordata, Mammalia, Artiodactyla, Delphinidae.
GCGCGAUCUGGGUGCCGGCGGAGAAACUCUCAAGAGGACGGAACUCUCGCGAUUAAGGCCUUUUCCCCCCCGGCGACGUGGAAGGAAAAAGGAGCGCGCUUCCGGAAAAGGAUUUUUAUAAAGGAAGCAACCCAUGAAGACAAAGGGGUGGAAUGUUGUGGAGCUGAAGAAAGGUGGACAGCGGCAGCUGCUUUCGCAUCUUGGAGGUCGGGGUCCAGGAGAUCGUUCACGCAAGUGCGACUGUGAAAAGGAAGAGACUCCAGGGCUCAGCCCCUACCGGCAGUGGCUGGGAGGUGAGCUCCAGCAGAGGCGCUCUCGGUUGGGUUGGCCAUCGGGGGCAGGGUCCUGUUCUGAAAGUGGGGGAAUACGUGAGAUUCCCGCCUUUCUGCCACCUCCACCCCUGGCUCCGAGUCCGGCCCCAAGCAUGUGGCACCCACAAUCCUCAGAGAGAAGAGCUCAUCUCUGCAGUAGCUCCCAACACAGAAGAAAAGCCUGGCAGUUGGGAGGUGGUCAGGAGAAUGGCCUGGCUCGAUCCUUGAUCUCAAAGCUCACCAGGCAAUAGGCCCCAGCCACUAAGAUUAAAUGCAACUGGGCAACCCAGGAUCACCAGACAGCUGAGGGAGAGGAAAAAACAAAAAAGCAAAAGGAAAAGGGACUCAGAAGGAACACAGCCAAUAAAGCGAGCAGAAGAAGGAGGAAAAAAGGAAAGCUAAAACCGUAUCCUCAGAGAUAUUAGAGAGGCUGUUGCGUCUGAAAACAUGAACAAGAGGCUGGAAAGAAAGAACAUUCAGCAAACGAGAAAGAGCACUUAUAAAUGGAAAGCAUGAGAGGAAAACGAACAGUUAAACAGAAAGGUUGAAAGAUAAAGCUGUAAUUUUCCAGAAUGUAUGACAACAAAACCAUAUAGCUGGAAAGCAGACAAUGGAGCCAUUGUCACACUUGUCGGCGCUCCCCAGUGCUAGAGCUGGCCGGGCGCCUUAGAGGCCUCCACAACAGAGGGGGUGGAUAAAGGGGGGGAUCGGCUGGGACUUGCCACCUCCAUUGUGGGGGGCAAAAGCACCACCCCCUGCUGGCAGCUUCCCCUGUGAAAAUCUGGCAUUGCUGCUUUCAGAGUGCUUGUGUGCUGGGCACUGUUCUCGUUACUUUUCACAGUUAACUUGUGCGAUCUCACAACCACCCCAUGAAGUGUGGACCAUUAUUAUCCCCAUCUUUACUGGUGAGAGAGUGGAGUCACAGACCACUGUCACACAGCAGGAAGCAGCAGAAUGGCUCCAGAGCCUAUGCCCUUAACCAGCACAUAUUGCACCUGUCAAAAAACAAGUCCAACAUCUAAGUAAGCAUUCCAGAAAAGGAGAGGGGAGAAAUCACCACAAAAGCAAAGAAAGCUUCCUAGAACUGAAGGGUUGGGAUCUCUGGACAAUAGAUGAAAGAGGUCAUAAACAACAAGGUCCAGGGACUUCCCUGGUGGCACAGUGGGUAAGGCUCUGCGCUCCCAAUGCAGGGGGCCCAGGUUCGAUCCCUGGUCAGGGAGCUAGAGCCCGCAUGCAUGCUGCAACUAAGAGUUCGCAUGCCACAAGUAAGGAGCCCUCAAGCUGCAGCUAACACCGGGUGCAACCAAAUAAAUGAAUGAAUAUUUAAAAAACAAAACAACAAGGUCCUACUGUAUAGCACAGAGAACUAUAUUCAAUAUACUAUGAUAAACCGUAAUGGAAAUUGCUGUACAGCAGGAAUUAACACAACAUUGUAAAUCAACUAUGCUUCAAUUAAAAAUUAAAAUAAAAGAAAGAGCAGGUCUACAUCAGGACACGUCGUUGAGAAUUUCCAAAGUACUUGGGUAAAGAGAAGAACCAGAGAGAGAGAGAGAAUAAAUCACAAAGGGUCAGAACUCAGACAGGCAUGGGAGUUCUUGGGACUGGAAGAAAAUGACAGUCCUGGCAAGAAGUAAUCUUCCACCAGCCCAACACUGUCCCUAGCUGCACGAACAAGCAGAUGAGAGAGUAGUGAGGGCAAACAGGAACGACUCCGUGACCCUGCACGCAUCCUCGCUCAGGAUGUUCCUCCUCAAACAGAGGGUGAAUGAAGGAAGAAGAAAGCAUGGGUUCCAGAGACAAGAGGAGGGAGGUGCUGGUGAAGGCGCAGCCCAUGCUGACAGCUGGGUCACAAACCCAAGAACAAGUAGCCUGGGGCAGAGAGUGGGCAGGCUGGGGGCUCCAGGAAAAAAUGACGCAGCAGCCAGCUAUGCAACAAAUCUGAAGACUGAGAGUAGGUUCGCACUUCUGCGGGAGAAUCUAGGGAGCAAUUAAUGAGACGUGUAGAAAACUAAGCCCCCCAAAAGGCAAUGAUUAACUCCAGGGGAAACAAAAAGUUGUGCAAGAAAGCAAAUAUAAUCCUAGGACACCUUGUUCUGUGCUGAGACCUGUGGGAAUGAAGCGGUAAUACUACCCAUCACACUGGGAUGACGCUGGGUCAGGGGGUUGAGGCCAGUGACCCCCUUCCCCCCAGAGGACACCGGCAGGUGACAUGUGAUGUUAAAAACCAAUAAAAACACAGUAAAAGCA